GAAAUAUCGGUAGUCAAAGUGUUCGAAUAUAUGUCUCAGAGCAAAUGAGGUCCAUAAGGGGGGAAGUACAACCAAAAUUCAUUGCCUUUUAAACCGAGCCUAGCUUUGCCCAUUAUAAUGAUUCGGGAAUUUUAAUGAUAGCAACAACAACAAGGUUAUUGAUAUGUUCUAUGUUCAUUUUGUUUUUUCAAUUUCUUAGUCGUAUGGUACCAGUUGAUUUAUGGGAUGUUUUCACAUCGGUUAGUCGAGCCUACCUUAACGCUUCUUUAGGUUUGUAAAUUUUUCUUAUACAUCUUUGCAUAAAUUCCUAGCUGCGCUAGAGGUGAUAUGAUACGUGAAAAUGUAUCGCCAUUCUUCUAGUGGCACACAUGCGAGUUUCUAAAUUAGUUAUUGGUUUCAGUUUUUCAGCAUCAGUGAUCUUCUACAAGUUUUGUCCUCUUGUCCUAGAAAGGAAUUUUUCAGCUGCAAAUACGGGAACCGCUUAAGGGUAUGAAUUACUUGGUCAGACUGCAUAUAUGGUUACCGACUUACUGUGUGCAGUUUACUCAAACUUAAUCUUUUUUGUACGUUACAUAUGAACAGACUUAUUAGUAUGACUUGAAGCUGUGUAAUCGUGACUUUGGCAAAGCAAGUUGAACAUCUGUUUUUUUUUUUCUUUCUAAAAGAUGUUUCUCUGUCAUUUUUAUUUCAUACAUCAUCAUUGAAUUUUGAUUGAAUUUGUAAAUUAACAGUUCAUAUAAAUGCAGGAAAUGUCAUUUAAAGUUGUGAAGGUGCUAAUGACAAAGCUGGGCAGACUUAUGAGUCGGCAAAAGACACUAUCUUCGAAAACCUUGAAGCGGCCAAGGAUAAGUCACUCGAUAUUAAAGACAAUAUGACUGGCUCGAAUAAUAAUCGGAGUCAUGAUGAGAAGCUGUGAAUUUAUAAUUGCAUGGAUGAUGAGUGAUAUAUAUAGUACAAAUGGAUGUAAUCAACAACUCUUAGUCCCAGUAAUUGUUUUUAAUAUUUAUACUCAUC
Molecule: long non-coding RNA, 1014 nt
Filed under: Erythranthe guttata (spotted monkey flower)
Lineage: Eukaryota; Viridiplantae; Streptophyta; Magnoliopsida; Lamiales; Phrymaceae
Description: long non-coding RNA (EGUT_LNC002126)
Source: RNAcentral